This 501-nucleotide ribosomal RNA is filed under the name uncultured bacterium. RNAcentral describes it as "partial 16S ribosomal RNA". It matches the Rfam family "Bacterial small subunit ribosomal RNA", at positions 30 to 523 of the family's 1533-position model. The record is from RNAcentral.
AUUGAACGCCGGCGGCAGGCUUAACACAUGCAAGUCGAGCGGAGAUGAGGUGCUUGCACCUUAUCUUAGCGGCGGACGGGUGAGUAAUGCUUAGGAAUCUGCCUAUUAGUGGGGGACAACAUUCCGAAAGGAAUGCUAAUACCGCAUACGUCCUACGGGAGAAAGCAGGGGAUCUUCGGACCUUGCGCUAAUAGAUGAGCCUAAGCCGGAUUAGCUAGUUGGUGGGGUAAAGGCCUACCAAGGCGACGAUCUGUAGCGGGUCUGAGAGGAUGGUCGGCCACACUGGGACUGAGACACGGCCCAGACUCCUACGGGAGGAAGCAGUGGGGAAUAUUGGACAAUGGGGGGAACCCUGAUCCAGCCGUGCCGCGUGUGUGAAGAAGGCCUUAUGGUUGUAAAGCACUUUAAGCGAGGAGGAGGCUACUGAGACUAAUACUCUUGGAUAGUGGACGUUACUCGCAGAAUAAGCACCGGCUAACUCUGUGCCAGCCGCCGCCGUAA